CACAAACACACACUGGGCUGGAAUAGUGUGAGCUGUGAGUUCUGGAUUGAGUCCCAGGUUAGAGGACGUCUCCUUCUGAUCGCCUCAACCAUCUGCUGCUGGCCAGACGGACCACACCACUGGAGGCAGACGGUGCACAUAUGCUGACGCAGAGAGUUUCAGCAGAAAAUUAGGUUUGAAACAAGAGGGAAAUAAAAGCUAGAGAGACAUAGCAAAGGAGAUGGCGAGAUACGUAUGAACCGCUUAACUUCAGGACAAAGAAACAGGCCACUUUGCAAGGAUAUUACUUCACAGCCAUAUUUUCAGGCUCUAUAACGUUCCUGUCUGAAUUCUGGAAGGAGCUGCAACAUCAGACAGUCUUCAGGCUGAGGAAGCAACGGCAUGAGAUGUAUGUCAAGACUGUAGAAGUGCAGGCCACAAUCAAGCCCUUUUUAGGUGUCUCAAUUUUCUCCUCCCAUAUGACCCUACUAAUGAGCUCCCUUCCUCUGGCCUGGGCAGGUAUGUCUGUUGGGGUCUGGCUGUCCUCAAAUAGAGGUGGACCGGGCACUCUGUGGUCAUUUGGUCCUCCCCAAUCUUGAGUCCCAUUCAGUACUCAAAGGGACACACAUGAGGAUUUGAUGGAUUUGGGCUGCAGGCAGACCCUGAUCCACCGAGUCCUGAUUCAAGACAUUGGCAUUGGAUGAUGGCUGGGAGGUGAAGUUGCGAUAUUUAACGGGAUGUGCACACUUAUCCUCUCAUGCCAAUCAAAAUUGAAUACAAGGGCCAAAAAUAAAGAAUGACAGAGAGACACAUCCUUCUGUCCCCCUUGAGCCCCCCUUAGAUUUACCUUUAUGCAUGCCUUCAAUCAAGUCACAAUUAACAGGCUCAUGUUAACGUUCACAUAUUUUUAAAGACAUUCUGACAUUUAAUACACAGUAUUAAGAGUGGUUGUAUCCGGUGAGUCAGGACACCUAAACUGAUGAAAUUCUGACC
Molecule: long non-coding RNA, 972 nt
Organism: Ictalurus punctatus (channel catfish)
Lineage: Eukaryota; Metazoa; Chordata; Actinopteri; Siluriformes; Ictaluridae
Source: Ensembl